UUACCUGUAGUUUGUAAAAUAUUGACCUUGGAAGUCAAAGUUCAAGAUUAUUUUUUCUUGCGGGUGAA
RNAcentral lists this transfer RNA (68 nucleotides) under Dendropoma corrodens (ringed wormsnail). Its description in RNAcentral is "tRNA-Pro". The record is from RNAcentral. Lineage: Eukaryota; Metazoa; Mollusca; Gastropoda; Littorinimorpha; Vermetidae.